RNAcentral lists this long non-coding RNA (747 nucleotides) under Mus caroli (Ryukyu mouse). RNAcentral describes it as "lncRNA (MGP_CAROLIEiJ_G0003091.1)". Lineage: Eukaryota; Metazoa; Chordata; Mammalia; Rodentia; Muridae. The record is from RNAcentral.
GCAAUUCUGAAGGAGGACCAGCAGUCUCAAUUAAUCUGGACCCCCGAGAUCUCUUAAACACUGGACCACCAAACAGGCAUACACCCGCUGAUAUGAGGCAGCCAGCACACAUACAGUAGAGGGCUUCUGGGUCUGUAUUCAUUCAGAGACUAAUGAGCCAGUGUGGUGGGGAUUCCAAUCCAGUGCCUACCAGACAUUGUGAUCAGCAAAAGAAAGUUAAGAGCAAUGUAGAAUGAAGAUGGCCCUUGUCACUGAGUCCUGAUGUCUGAAGACACAUGCAAUGAUGCAAAGGGGCUUAGAGAGUCAUCCUGGAGCUCUGGAAGUGGAACAAGACACUAUCUCAAUUCUAAUUAUAUGCUCCAUCAUCCAUGUGGGUGACUCUUUCAUGAUUCUGUUGGAAAUCUAACAGAGGAAGCAUGUCAUUAAUAAGAGAAUGAAUCCUUCAGAACAGCUUUGUUCACACUUACAGAGGCGUGGACUUGUUAUGGCUGACUACUAAGUUCUUUGCAUCCAUCAAGGAAGGAGUCAGUUUCUUUGCUGUUUGGCAUACCAUAUAGAGAAAGCACUGCUUAUGCUUGACCUUGCCAAAGUUAGUGGCUCCAAGACUUUCUAUCACUUUGCCCAGGUCUGACUGUGAACCUUGAUGGGGAAAAUAAGGAAGCAAGUGAUAUACAAUUAUUCAUAUUAACAUUUGGGAAAAGCUAUUCAAUGGCGUUAAAGGGAAUAUGAACUUAGAAUCAAGUCUUG